GCAUAUCAUUCUACGACAGUUUACACUUUACAUGCAACAAAAAAUCAACCUAAUAAAUUACUAAGAGAAUAUCAACUCAAAACAUGUCUUCCCCCUUCUAACAGACAAUAUGAAACCAACUCAAAGCAAAAACAUGUCUUACCCUACUUGAUAUUACACCAGCAGCAAAAAUAAGCAAAUCUGGAAACACUUUUCAGUGUUUCCACAACAAACAUGUCUGAUUACAAGAAAGGUAGCCAUAUGUCAAUGAUAUAUUGAUAAAAAAGUUCAUA
This 272-nucleotide long non-coding RNA is filed under the name Daucus carota (carrot). Its description in RNAcentral is "long non-coding RNA (DCAR_LNC006047)". The record is from RNAcentral. Lineage: Eukaryota; Viridiplantae; Streptophyta; Magnoliopsida; Apiales; Apiaceae.